GGCUACAGCCACACUGCUCAGAGCAUGACUUUUCUCAGAAACUAAGCAGGGCUGGGCCUGGUCAGUGUUUGUAUGAGAGAUUGCCUGGGGACACCAGCUGCUGUAAAUU
This 109-nucleotide ribosomal RNA is filed under the name Monopterus albus (swamp eel). The record is from RNAcentral. Lineage: Eukaryota; Metazoa; Chordata; Actinopteri; Synbranchiformes; Synbranchidae.